This 1447-nucleotide long non-coding RNA is filed under the name Canis lupus familiaris (dog). RNAcentral's name for it is "lncRNA (ENSCAFG00000056852.1)". Lineage: Eukaryota; Metazoa; Chordata; Mammalia; Carnivora; Canidae. The record is from RNAcentral.
GAGGGCGGGGCUCCGGGAGGAAGGAGGAUAGGGAUUGGCGGGGGGCGGGGCUCCGGAAUAGGAAAAAAGGAGCAAUGCUCCGGGAGGAAGGAGGACAGGGGUUGGCGGGGAGGCGGGGCUCCGGAGAAAGGCCGGCGGUGGGGCGGGGCUCCAGGAGGAGGAAGGAGGGGGCAGGGCUACGGGAGGAAAGGGGAGGGGCUGCGGGAGGAAGGCUGGCGGUGGGGCGAGGCUCCCGGAGGAAGGAGGAAGGGGGCGGGGCCCCGGGAGGAAAGAGGAAGGAGCAUACACACUGGCGGUGGGACAGGGAUCCGGAGGAAGGAGGAAAAGGGCAGGGCUCCUGGAGGAAGCAAGGCGGGGCGCGGAACUCCAGGAAGGGCGGGUGGGCCUAGGGGUCCCUACAGCCCCUGUACGCUAGACACCCCGUGCUUCAGCCCAGAGAGGUGGUCCUCACUGUGCUCGGCGUCCUCCGUCCCCGGGUCAGUACACAGAGGUGUCCCCACUGUGGUCGGCGUCCUCUGUCCCCGGGUCAGCACACGGGGCGUCCUCACUGUGGUCAGCGUCCCCAUCCCCCGGGGUCAGCACACCGGGUGUCCUCACUGUGGUCGGCAUCCUCCAUCCCUGGGUCAGCAUACAGGAUGUCCCCAGUGUGGUCGGGGACCUCCGUCCCCCAGGUCGGCACACGGGUGUCCCCCUGUGGUCGGCGUCCUCUGUCCCGGUCGCAUCAGUGUCCCCGGGUGGUCGGCGCCCUCCGUCCCCGGGUCAGCAUACAGGAAGUGUCCCCGGGUGGUGGGUCGGCGGGUUCCCCUUCCGUCCUCCCCCCCGGGUCAGCACACGGAAGUGUCCCCACUGUGGUCGGCGUCCUCUGUCCCCAGGUCGGCACUCAGGGUGUCCCCGGCGUGGUCGGCGUCCUCCGUCCCCCGGGUCAGCACACGGAAGUGUCCCCACUGUGGUCGGCGUCCUCUCUCCCCAGGUCGGCACUCAGGGUGUCCCCGGCGUGGUCGGCGUCCUCCGUCCCCCGGGUCAGCACACGGAAGUGUCCUCACUGUGGUCGGCGUCCUCUGUCCCCAGCUCAGCACUCAGGGUGUCCCCAGUAUGGUCGGCGUCCUCCGUCCCCCGCGUCAACACACGGAGGUGUCCUCACUGUGGUCCGCGUCCUCCGUCCCCAGUUUCUUUAGCUGGCAGAGGCAAUUCAGGAUUUUCAAACGUGACCUUUAUUCCUGUUGUCUCAGAGAUAUGGUCAGUGCCCCGAUGCCAAGGUAAACACAAUAGGUACUUCCAAAUGCUAGAGGGAUUACCUAAGCAGGUCGUGUCAAAUGAUUGGGCAGCCAGUUCUGGGCAUAUUAGCCCAGGGCUCAGCUCUGGGGUUGGAGUUCAAGAGUCAGCAGUGUUGAAGAGUGGAGUUGAAGAGUGUUUGAGAGAGUCCUUGGCCUGCUGUGAUCAACCCGUC